GACGAACGCUGGCGGCGUGCUUAACACAUGCAAGUCGAACGGAAAGGCCCUGCUUUUGUGGGGUGCUCGAGUGGCGAACGGGUGAGUAACACGUGAGUAACCUGCCCUUGACUUUGGGAUAACUUCAGGAAACUGGGGCUAAUACCGGAUAGGAGCUCUUGCUGCAUGGUGGGGGUUGGAAAGUUUCGGCGGUUGGGGAUGGACUCGCGGCUUAUCAGCUUGUUGGUGGGGUAGUGGCUUACCAAGGCUUUGACGGGUAGCCGGCCUGAGAGGGUGACCGGCCACAUUGGGACUGAGAUACGGCCCAGACUCCUACGGGAGGCAGCAGUGGGGAAUAUUGCACAAUGGGCGGAAGCCUGAUGCAGCAACGCCGCGUGCGGGAUGACGGCCUUCGGGUUGUAAACCGCUUUCGCCUGUGACGAAGCGUGAGUGACGGCAAUGGGUAAAGAAGCACCGGCUAACUACGUG
Molecule: ribosomal RNA, 468 nt
Filed under: uncultured bacterium
Lineage: Bacteria
Description: partial 16S ribosomal RNA
Rfam family: Bacterial small subunit ribosomal RNA
Source: RNAcentral